This 254-nucleotide ribosomal RNA is filed under the name uncultured bacterium. RNAcentral's name for it is "partial 16S ribosomal RNA". It matches the Rfam family "Bacterial small subunit ribosomal RNA", at positions 524 to 776 of the family's 1533-position model. The record is from RNAcentral.
UACGAAGGGGGCUAGCGUUGUUCGGAAUCACUGGGCGUAAAGCGCACGUAGGCGGAUCGUUAAGUCGGGGGUGAAAUCCCGAGGCUCAACCUCAGAACUGCCUUCGAUACUGGCGAUCUUUGAGUCCGGGAGAGGUGAGUGGAACUCCGAGUGUAGAGGUGAAAUUCGUAGAUAUUCGGAAGAACACCAGUGGCGAAGGCGGCUCACUGGCCCGGUACUGACGCUGAGGUGCGAAAGCGUGGGGAGCAAACAGG